UUUGACCAUUUGAUUUUUUUUUUUUCAGGUGACUUUUUUUUCCUGGCUGAAGCAGAAGGAAUAUCGCCAACUUAUCCUGAUUUCAGAUUGUUUAUAGUGCUGGCUGCUGGAAAAAAAAAUCACCCUCAGAUGUGUGCACUGCCUUUGGAGAAAGCUAGGAAGGGUAAAAAGUGGCUUUUUUUUUUUUUUUUUUUUUGGCAUUGGCGUUUAUAUAUUCUUUAAACUGUUUUUAUUUGUUAUUACCUUAUUUAUAUUGUUUGUUUUUAAAGUGGCGUAUCUUUUAUCGGUCGCUCUUCCUGGGGAAAUUUAAACUACAGUGAAGUAAUAUUUGGUAGCUUUACAUAGCCAAGGAAUUAGUCUGGACAAUGAAUAAGCCAGGUGACAGCCCAUUUGACUAAAGACCAGAGGGACACACUCACAGUCACAGGGUUUGCCUUUGGGAAAUCAGCUUCCAAGGCAAACCCAGGCCCAGGAGACAGGCGCCCUUCCCAAGGCCUCGACUGAUGCAGAAUCCGGACCAGGUAAUGGAUGUCAUGGAUGCAUUUGUAUUAGAAAAUCUCCACCUAACAUCUUGUGAUGUAGAUCUGCAUCCUUUUCAUCACGGAAGACAUCAUUCUGUGAGAACAGGAACAGAAAGUAUGAAGUGGGACAGGAGACAGACUCCCUGAGGUGCUUUGAAAACUCCAGAGUAUAUAAAAGCGUCGGAUGAAUCCAAGUUAAAGUGCAUUAAUAAAUACUGCUUCCCUCAAACUUGCAACAUUGGUGUAAUCAUUAUUCCCAUAUCACAGACAAAGAAGUUACUUGACUAUUGAAACCCACCUAGUCAGGGGCAGAGCUGGGGCCCGAGCCCAGGCAUUCUAAGACCUCCUGCUGUCCCAGCUGUCUCCCUUUUGGCAUCCAGAGCACAUCGUCUGGAGAAUGCUUUUAAUUAUCACCUCGCCCAGAGUGCGAAGAUUUACCGGUAUGCUUUCCUCCGGCCCCAUCUUAAGCACCCCUUUGGGAAGUAGAGU
Long non-coding RNA from Aethalodelphis obliquidens (Pacific white-sided dolphin), 1010 nucleotides. RefSeq lists it as uncharacterized. Lineage: Eukaryota; Metazoa; Chordata; Mammalia; Artiodactyla; Delphinidae. The record is from RefSeq and is a predicted model, not a curated record. The transcript is spliced from 3 exons.